Clarias gariepinus (North African catfish) is the source of this 264-nucleotide long non-coding RNA. RefSeq lists it as uncharacterized. NCBI's taxonomy places the organism in Eukaryota, Metazoa, Chordata, Actinopteri, Siluriformes, Clariidae. The record is from RefSeq and is a predicted model, not a curated record. The transcript has 2 exons.
CUUUACCUCCAACACCACCUGAGCCUUUCACAAGGAAUUCCUGUAAAAAAAUAAAUAAAAAAAUAAAUGCCAAUUAAAUGAGGAAUUAGAGGCAUGCAGAAGAGCAUCUCAGAAUCCCAAGCAUGUCGACCCUUGACAGUGCAGAUGGGUUGCAGCAGAAGGUGACCACCCCGGGUCUUAUUCCUAUCAGCUAUAAACAAGAAACUGAGGCUACAAUUUGCAUUGGCUUGCCAAAAUUGAACAAUAUAAGACUGCUAAAAUGUU